GAGGGUAUAGCUCAGGGGUUGAGCACGUGCUUAGCAUGCACGAGGUCCUGGGUUCAAUCCCCAGUACCUCCA
Molecule: transfer RNA, 72 nt
Filed under: Camelus bactrianus (Bactrian camel)
Lineage: Eukaryota; Metazoa; Chordata; Mammalia; Artiodactyla; Camelidae
Also listed under: 1 other name
Rfam family: tRNA
About the family: Transfer RNA (tRNA) molecules are approximately 80 nucleotides in length. Their secondary structure includes four short double-helical elements and three loops (D, anti-codon, and T loops). Further hydrogen bonds mediate the characteristic L-shaped molecular structure. tRNAs have two regions of fundamental functional importance: the anti-codon, which is responsible for specific mRNA codon recognition, and the 3' end, to which the tRNAs corresponding amino acid is attached (by aminoacyl-tRNA synthetases). tRNAs cope with the degeneracy of the genetic code in two manners: having more than one tRNA (with a specific anti-codon) for a particular amino acid; and 'wobble' base-pairing, i.e. permitting non-standard base-pairing at the 3rd anti-codon position.
Source: Rfam by way of RNAcentral